Phalacrocorax carbo (great cormorant) is the source of this 299-nucleotide non-coding RNA. The record is from RefSeq and is a predicted model, not a curated record. NCBI's taxonomy places the organism in Eukaryota, Metazoa, Chordata, Aves, Suliformes, Phalacrocoracidae.
UCGAGACAUGUCCUAAAAGGGAAAAGCAAAGCCAUGACUUCACCGUCUGGGAAGAGAGGUCCUGAUGCAGAGUGGUGGAUGACUCCCCACAGCAGCCCUGCAGCGGACCAGGAGGUGCAGGACAGCUGCAUCAAGGCACUUGGGGAGGAGUAGAGAUGAACCCUGGGAAGACCCCUCACUGUGGAACUGGGAGCACUGGGAAACCCUCAGGAGUUUCCCAGGGAGGUGAUGGCCUCAUGAAUUGGUGUCUCCAGCAUCACUGCUCAGUGGGUGACAAAUGGGGACACAUCCCCAUCAGG